Lactuca sativa (garden lettuce) is the source of this 904-nucleotide long non-coding RNA. RefSeq lists it as uncharacterized. NCBI's taxonomy places the organism in Eukaryota, Viridiplantae, Streptophyta, Magnoliopsida, Asterales, Asteraceae. The record is from RefSeq and is a predicted model, not a curated record.
UUCUUGGAGACCUAAUUAGCGGCAACUACAGUCAAUUUCGCAUAGUGAGUGACCACUCUUCGAUCGCCUAAUAAUUGAAGAUGACGAACAUGAGGUGUCCCUUCUGGAGAAUCGAGAUGGAUGGUUAUAAUUUAAAAUUAAGAUUUAGUCCUCCAUAGUUGCAUCGAUCGCCUACUGUCUCAUCCGCUUCACUACUUCAGCGCUUCUCUUGCCCUCUCUCUCGAUCAUUUCUCUUAUAUUCUUCUUUCUUUCUAAAUCUUAUAUUCUACUUCUUUCUUUGUAUUGCUCUUAAUUUGUUAUUUUGUUGUGUUAAAGACUUAAAGUGAAGAUUUAAAGGUGCAAUACCGACAUACCGGGUCCUAAAUCCUAAUCCAAUGUGUUUUUAUUGAAUGCUAUUUGAGUGAAAUAUGCCCUUUUGGAGUUCAAGCAGCCAACAACUAAGUGUUUUAUUCCUUUUCUGGAGUUCCAACAACCCAGUAUGUGAAGAAAUGGUUGAAGUAAACAAGGCAAGACAAUUGGAUCAUGAAUCUCUUUUGAAGAAACAAAAGAGAAUAAAGAAUGUUCUUUAGCAAAGAAGCACGAGAAUGAACUCUCGAGGAAGGAAAAUGUUGCUAACAGGAAACAUGAAGUUGAUAACCAAAGAAGUCAAAUAGUACCCCAAAGAAUAUGAGGACCAAAUGCAGAUAAUUAGUCAUAUUUACUGCCUCUUUAUAUAAUGUUCAUAUUUAAUAAUCUAUGUACAUGGAUUUGAUUUUAAAUUCAGUAACUGAAGCUAAUUUAGUUAAAACCUGAAGCAAGACUGGAUGGCAGAUUCAAUUUGAACCCAUAACCAAUGAUGUUGUUCAUUCUUCGUAUUCGUGGGUCAGUGCUUAUAUUACCAAUAAAUUAGCAAUCUUGAGUACUA